RNAcentral lists this ribosomal RNA (466 nucleotides) under Ballonema sp. MCZ DNA106728. RNAcentral's name for it is "LSU rRNA". It matches the Rfam family "Bacterial large subunit ribosomal RNA", at positions 1832 to 2600 of the family's 2925-position model. The record is from RNAcentral. Lineage: Eukaryota; Metazoa; Arthropoda; Chilopoda; Scutigeromorpha; Scutigeridae.
GGUUUCUUGGUAAAUAUGAGAAAUAAGACCUGCCCAAUGAUUAAUUAAAUGGCCGCGGUAUUAUGACCGUGCGAAGGUAGCAUAAUCAUUAGUUUUUUAAUUGUGGACUGGAAUGAAAGGUUUGACGUAAUAAUAACUUUUUUAGUUUUAUAUAUUAAAUUUUACUUUUUAGUGAAGAGGCUAAAAUUAGAUCAAAAGACAAGAAGACCCUAUCAAGUUUUAUUAUAUAGUAUUAAUUAUUAGAGGAAAAAUAAAAAUAUAAAGUAAUUUUGCUGGGGCGGUAUAUUGUAACUAAUUAUGAUCCAAAAAUUUUGAUUGAUUGUUUAAAUUACUGUAGGGAUAACAGCGUAAUCUUAUUUGAGAGUUCAUAUCGACAAUAAGGGUUGCGACCUCGAUGUUGGAUUAGAAUUCCUUCUUUGGAGCAGAGUCUAAGAAAGGUGGUCUGUUCGACCAUAAAAAUUCUACA